This 478-nucleotide ribosomal RNA is filed under the name uncultured bacterium. RNAcentral describes it as "partial 16S ribosomal RNA". It matches the Rfam family "Bacterial small subunit ribosomal RNA", at positions 28 to 507 of the family's 1533-position model. The record is from RNAcentral.
GAUGAACGCUGGCGGCGUGCUUAACACAUGCAAGUCGAACGGGAAUUAUUUUAUUGACACUUCGGUCGAUUUAAUUUAAUUCUAGUGGCGGACGGGUGAGUAACGCGUGGGUAACCUGCCUUAUACAGGGGGAUAACAGUCAGAAAUGGCUGCUAAUACCGCAUAAGCGCACAGAGCUGCAUGGCUCAGUGUGAAAAACUCCGGUGGUAUAAGAUGGACCCGCGUUGGAUUAGCUGGUUGGUGGGGUAACGGCCCACCAAGGCGACGAUCCAUAGCCGGCCUGAGAGGGUGAACGGCCACAUUGGGACUGAGACACGGCCCAGACUCCUACGGGAGGCAGCAGUGGGGAAUAUUGCACAAUGGGGGAAACCCUGAUGCAGCGACGCCGCGUGAAGGAAGAAGUAUCUCGGUAUGUAAACUUCUAUCAGCAGGGAAGAUAGUGACGGUACCUGACUAAGAAGCCCCGGCUAACUACGUG